This 485-nucleotide ribosomal RNA is filed under the name uncultured bacterium. Its description in RNAcentral is "bacterial SSU rRNA". It matches the Rfam family "Bacterial small subunit ribosomal RNA", at positions 443 to 920 of the family's 1533-position model. The record is from RNAcentral.
UGAGGAAGGUUGGCGUGUUAAUAGCACGUUGACUUGACGUUAGCUGCAGAAGAAGCACCGGCUAACUCCGUGCCAGCAGCCGCGGUAAUACGGAGGGUGCGAGCGUUAAUCGGAAUUACUGGGCGUAAAGCGCAUGCAGGCGGUUUGUUAAGCAAGAUGUGAAAGCCCCGGGCUCAACCUGGGAAAGUCAUUUUGAACUGGCAGGCUAGAGUCUUGUAGAGGGGGGUAGAAUUUCAGGUGUAGCGGUGAAAUGCGUAGAGAUCUGAAGGAAUACCGGUGGCGAAGGCGGCCCCCUGGACAAAGACUGACGCUCAGAUGCGAAAGCGUGGGGAGCAAACAGGAUUAGAUACCCUGGUAGUCCACGCUGUAAACGAUGUCUACUUGGAGGUUGCGGUCUUGAACUGUGGCUUUCGGAGCUAACGCGUUAAGUAGACCGCCUGGGGAGUACGGUCGCAAGAUUAAAACUCAAAUGAAUUGACGGAAGG